RNAcentral lists this ribosomal RNA (560 nucleotides) under uncultured eukaryote. RNAcentral's name for it is "SSU rRNA". It matches the Rfam family "Eukaryotic small subunit ribosomal RNA", at positions 4 to 573 of the family's 1831-position model. The record is from RNAcentral.
CUGGUUGAUCCUGCCAGUAGUCAUAUGCUUGUCUCAAAGACUAAGCCAUGCAUGUCUAAGUAUAAAUGUUAUACAGUGAAACUGCGAAUGGCUCAUUAAAACAGUUAUAGUUUAUUUGAUAAUCGAAUUUACAUGGAUAACCGUGGUAAUUCUAGAGCUAAUACAUGCUGGUUAGCCUGACUUUUGAGGAAGGGCUGUAUUUAUUAGAUAACAAACCAAUAUUCCUUGUGUCUAUUGUGAUGACUCAUAAUAACUGAUCGAAUCGCAUGGACUUUGUCCGCGAUAAAUCAUUCAAGUUUCUGCCCCAUCAGCUUUCGAUGGUAGUGUAUUGGACUACCAUGGCUUUAACGGGUAACGGAGGAUUAGGGUUCGAUUCCGGAGAGGGAGCCUGAGAAACGGCUACCACAUCUAAGGAAGGCAGCAGGCGCGUAAAUUACCCAAUCCUGACUCAGGGAGGUAGUGACAAGAAAUAACGGACCGAAGUCUAUGUUUCGGGAUUGCAAUGAGUUGAAUUUAAACCCCUUUACGAGGAUCAAUUGGAGGGCAAGUCUGGUAAUCAC